This 300-nucleotide long non-coding RNA is filed under the name Amborella trichopoda. Its description in RNAcentral is "long non-coding RNA (ATRI_LNC003850)". The record is from RNAcentral. Lineage: Eukaryota; Viridiplantae; Streptophyta; Magnoliopsida; Amborellales; Amborellaceae.
CUUCCAAAAAAAAAUUGAGUACAUUAAUGAGUACACCCUAACAUAAUCCUUGACUUAAAGUAGCAAAUUUCUAAUCACAACAUGAAAGAGAGAGGAGGAAGUUUCAUAUUGUUUUAUUCUUACUAGAGAAUAAGAACACAUGGUACUCAAUUGAUCGAGCAUAUGAUGUAACAAGAACACAUGAUAUCCAAUUUUGAUAUAUGGAACAAGAACAUAGGAAGUUCCAUGUUAUUUUCUUUGAUAUAUGGAACAAGAACAAAUGAUAUCCAAUUUAGCACAAUAUUAAAAAGUUCCAAUGUU